UUGAUCGGUAGCAUGGAUCCCUAUGACAGACCGUCUGGAGAGUGGACGUGAGACCCUGAAAGUGAUACAAAGACACUCCGUUGUUGAUUUUUUUUACCUGACGAUCGUAGGCACGGACGUUACAUCCAACAACACAACAGAGGAAAAGGCCUUACCUUUGGAAGAUGUGACCUCUACUGUUGUAAACAUCAACAUCAUUGCCAAAGAAGGAAGUAUCGUUUCAGCACCCUGUAUCAACGGAAAUACUAUUGGAGGUGGUGUUUCUAAUUCGAUUGAUGGUGGAACUUGAGAGGGGUGUCCUCAUGAGCAAAUACAUUCUGUUCAGGCUCUCCAAGGAGCCAAAGAAAAGAAUUUUGGAGCUCAUGAAUGCUCUUUUCACCCGGAGAGAGAUGGCCAUGUCCUCUCUUACCGGGAGGACGACCAAUGCCUUCAGGGACCAUGAGGCAAAACCCCAACUUUGCCCAAAGAAGGUGUCGGCAAUCUGUUCCUACAUAAUAAAAGACACGCCGAUGGAAAUUAAAGACAUCAUGUCCAUCAUGAGAUCAAAACUCAACAACGAAUCCAAGCUGUUCAAAAAACUUUAAUAUAACAAUAAAUGUCCUCUGCAUUUCAAACUAACCAUUGCUUUUCUUGUACUUUUCUAAUUGAUGUAAAAUAGUAAAUAUCAUUGUUCAUGGUAAGAUAGAAAACUGUUUUGACACCUUGGUCCUCUAAGUAUUUUCACUGUUUUAAAUGAGUCUACUGUACAUAACUAUAGAAAACUUUAGACAACUUUAGAAUAGGAUUGCACCAAAAUACUAUAGGAUUAAAUCCUAUAAAAAGAUUACUACAGAACUACAGAAUACUAUAGGAGUCCUAUAAGAAUACUAUAAUAUUUAUCUAUAAUAUUUCUGUAGUUGGCCUAUAGUAAAAUGUCCCAAAUUACUAUAAUAUUCCUAUAGGACAACUGUAGGAUUUCUAUAAGAUUACUACAUAAAAGUAUCAUAGGAAUCCUAUAAUAAUGUUAUAGUAUUACUACUGUAUAGGAUUUUUCCGUAAGGGAGGUAGCUAGUCGGUUACUUGUAGGCCUACUGUACAUCAAAACACAUUAGUCUUGUUUUGCAAUGUGUGGACUAUGUUUAUUAAGUGUCUGUUUUGCUGUAUAUUUUAAGGAAAUACUACCAGGCCUCAAUCUCCUUCAGGCAACCAUCUGGUCACUCAAAAUGACCAGGCCAACUGGAAACGGUGGAGGUCCUGUUGCCUGGCAAGAUGUUGACAUAAAGUUGAAUUGGCCUGGAGACUACCUGACAACUGUGAAAGCGCUGCUGGCUGAUGAGAUGUGGUCAUAGACUCUUUUCAGUGAAAUACUACCAGGCCUCAAUCUCCUUCAGGCAACCAUCUGGUCACUCAAAAUGACCAGGCCAACUGGAAACGGUGGAGGUCCUGUUGCCUGGCAAGAUGUUGACAUAAAGUUGAAUUGGCCUGGAGACUACCUGACAACUGUGAAAGCGCUGCUGGCUGAUGAGUGGUCAUAGACUCUUUUCAGUUACCAUAUCCAGACCAGACCAUUGGACAGACCAUCAUCAGGGGCACACUUUCAGUGAACCCCUCAGUUUGCGCCCCGAAAAGUUCAAAGCCCGACGUCAUCGAGGACAUCUCAUGUGGAGGGUGGAGGGAAGUGGAAGGCCCGAUACGCGAGGAAACACGAGAGUAUCCUACACGAUCAUUGCUGCAAGCUGCAAGCUGCCAAGGAGAAGAGCUGGUUUUCGGGAACUGUUCAGCCUUUUUAAUGUUAACAUUCAAUAAAAUGAAACGAAAAUGCC
Molecule: long non-coding RNA, 1802 nt
Organism: Sardina pilchardus (European sardine)
Lineage: Eukaryota; Metazoa; Chordata; Actinopteri; Clupeiformes; Clupeidae
Exons: 12
Source: RefSeq, a predicted model, not a curated record